AGUGAACGCUGGCGGUAGGCCUAACACAUGCAAGUCGAACGGCAGCACAGUAAGAGCUUGCUCUUACGGGUGGCGAGUGGCGGACGGGUGAGAAUACAUCGGAAUCUACUUUUUCGUGGGGAUAACGUAGGGAAACUUACGCUAAUACCGCAUACGACCUACGGGUGAAAGCAGGGGAUCUUCGGACCUUGCGCGAUUGAAUGAGCCGAUGUCGGAUUAGCUAGUUGGCGGGGUAAAGGCCCACCAAGGCGACGAUCCGUAGCUGGUCUGAGAGGAUGAUCAGCCACACUGGAACUGAGACACGGUCCAGACUCCUACGGGAGGCAGCAGUGGGGAAUAUUGGACAAUGGGCGCAAGCCUGAUCCAGCCAUACCGCGUGGGUGAAGAAGGCCUUCGGGUUGUAAAGCCCUUUUGUUGGGAAAGAAAAGCAGCAGGUUAAUACCCCGCUGUUCUGACGGUACCCAAAGAAUAAGCACCGGCUAACUUCGUG
RNAcentral lists this ribosomal RNA (490 nucleotides) under uncultured bacterium. RNAcentral's name for it is "partial 16S ribosomal RNA". It matches the Rfam family "Bacterial small subunit ribosomal RNA", at positions 29 to 507 of the family's 1533-position model. The record is from RNAcentral.